This 894-nucleotide long non-coding RNA is filed under the name Hordeum vulgare. Its description in RNAcentral is "long non-coding RNA (HVUL_LNC008078)". Lineage: Eukaryota; Viridiplantae; Streptophyta; Magnoliopsida; Poales; Poaceae. The record is from RNAcentral.
ACCCCCGCUUUGAUGCAGAUCUCGUCCGGUUGGUAAAAAUAGCUUUUAUCAGUCAAGUUUGAUCGAUAAACUAGGCUAGAGAUAAAAUGACAAACAAAAAUCAAUUAUGAGAGUUGGAUCCGUGCAAUGCUGCUUGGAAUAGAAGGCAUCGGGAAACGCAUCAAACGUAGGUCGUUUCCUCCCUGAAGCCUCCAUGACGUUCAAAGUCAAAACGAGUUGAGUAUGUUGUCCGGGUGUACCAUGCAUGGUCUGGCAAAUGACACAGAGCUAUACAUGCUUUUUAGCGCUUCGAUCGUACACAAAUUUGUACCACUGUUUUACUGCCUUGGCGACAGGAGUUCACAUGUUAGUUGGCCACCAUGGCUGCUUUCCAAGACACCCGCCAUGUUCGCGCAUUGCCCAGAUGCAUGGGAUCCGUGGGUCUUACCAUGUGGGAGGAACCUUGCUAAUCAACCUAGCUAGUUAACUCUUCGCGUGCAGUGUCCACUUGCGAUCCUGCAGUGUUACCUUGGUAAAUUUGUGUCAAGAUAAUUUAGCGAGAUUUCGCUGAAAUUUAGUGAGAUUCAUCGGUUUAUCUUCGAUCUCCCUUAGUUUUAGCGAGCGGGGUAUAAGUUCAGCUAUAUAUGCAGGACAAAACACAAAGCUAAGUGACCACCUAUCCACCCAUCUGUAGGAGUAGUUUGCCAUGAGUAAAGCAAGAAAUUAACCUGUGGUGGUGAUUCAUCCGAUGCAUUAGGGAAUAAUCAUCUAUUCUUGUUUUCUUCUCCCUACAAUAAUGCCACAUCAUAAAGUCAUGCAUGGAGUUAUAUAUUACUUUUUUCAUUAUCUUUUCAUGCAAAACAUACCACCUCAUGUAUUAUUUUUUUCCAAGAAAUUAAGUCAUGUAAGAAAGUU